RNAcentral lists this ribosomal RNA (253 nucleotides) under uncultured bacterium. RNAcentral's name for it is "partial 16S ribosomal RNA". It matches the Rfam family "Bacterial small subunit ribosomal RNA", at positions 524 to 776 of the family's 1533-position model. The record is from RNAcentral.
UACAGAGGGGGCAAGCGUCGUUCGGAAUUACUGGGCGUAAAGGGCGCGUAGGCGGCCCUCUAAGUCGAACGUGAAAUCCCCGGGCUCAACCCGGGAACUGCGUCCGAUACUGGAAGGCUUGAAUCCGGGAGAGGGAUGCGGAAUUCCAGGUGUAGCGGUGAAAUGCGUAGAUAUCUGGAGGAACACCGGUGGCGAAGGCGGCAUCCUGGACCGGCAUUGACGCUGAGGCGCGAAAGCCAGGGGAGCAAACGGG